GUGGGGAAUCUUGCGCAAUGGGCGAAAGCCUGACGCAGCCAUGCCGCGUGAAUGAUGAAGGUCUUAGGAUUGUAAAAUUCUUUCACCGGGGACGAUAAUGACGGUACCCGGAGAAGAAGCUCCGGCUAACUUCGUGCCAGCAGCCGCGGUAAUACGAAGGGGGCUAGCGUUGCUCGGAAUUACUGGGCGUAAAGGGCGCGUAGGCGGACAGCUUAGUCAGAGGUGAAAGCCCAGGGCUCAACCUUGGAAUUGCCUUUGAUACAGGCUGUCUUGAGUUUGGGAGAGGUGAGUGGAACUCCGAGUGUAGAGGUGAAAUUCGUAGAUAUUCGGAAGAACACCAGUGGCGAAGGCGACUCACUGGCCCAAUACUGACGCUGAGGCGCGAAAGCGUGGGGAGCAAACAGGAUUAGAAACCCUGGUAGUCC
RNAcentral lists this ribosomal RNA (425 nucleotides) under uncultured bacterium. RNAcentral's name for it is "partial 16S ribosomal RNA". It matches the Rfam family "Bacterial small subunit ribosomal RNA", at positions 354 to 796 of the family's 1533-position model. The record is from RNAcentral.